CACGCCCUGGCUGCUAGGAGACGCUAUUCCCUUUACCAGGCCCUCAUGCGCGCCAGCCAGCCAGGCCAAGGCCAGGGGAGCUCGAGACUGGCAACCUGGGCGAAGAACCGGAAGGAGGAAAAGGAAACGGAGGGAGAAAGAGGCCGUGGGAGAGCUGAGCAAGGAGAGGCUGCAGAAGGAGCUCGCGGACUCCCGAGAACCAGCAGGGGGAGGUGAUGAGAAACGUCCACACUCUUAAUGUCUUGCCUCCUUCUCCCGCAUUGACUUCAUAAGCAAGUUUUGAGUCCCUGCCUCUGGAGUGCCUGAUGAGACAAAACUGCUCCUCGUCCUGCAUCCCUGCUGCUACUUCCAGAACUCAGGGCUCGUGGUCUGGAGCCUGCACUGUUCCAUGAGCCUCCUGACCAACCUGGAAGCCUCUGUCUUUCCUCCCUCAGUGAGAUGCACCUACUUCUCCCUGGAGAAGCUCGAGGAAGCAGGAAUACUGAAGAUGAGAGACCACAUCUGCUCAGGGGUUUAUUCUUCCGUCUGUUUGCAGGGCUGUUUUGUACUCAGUAUUCACCUAAGCACUCCAAACUGUAAGUAACCCCAGAGGUCGUGGAGUGUCCCACUGCCCCUCCAUCUGGAGGCUGUGACACCUCCCCCAAAGAGGAGGUGCUCGCAUGCGUCCAGUACCCUGCCCAUUAGAUUAGAGAGGGCUCCCUUCUUUGCUCUCUUGCACUCAUUUGUCCGCCUUUUAGCUUUCCUUUUCUGUCCUGGACUCACACAGGGUCGCAUGAACGUGUGGUGUAGCAGGAGGAGACAGACCCAGCACACCCUGCCUGCGCAGCUCUGUGCUGCACCUUCACUCUAGUCACGGGUGUGGCAGUCAGCUCACCAAUUCCUCCUGCUUCCCUGGGACUCGCUGGCUUUUAGCACCGCAAGUCCCUCAGCAAACUGGGACUGUUGAUCACCCUACCCGGCAGCCAGUGAUAAGGUGAGGGCCACUCCUGGGAGGGAGGACACCUGUGGGGAAAAUUCUUGUGUUAUUUAUUUCUCCUUCGGGGUAGGGUGCCUGCAGUGCUUCAUGGGAGGGGCUGGGCUGAUGCUGCAAGCUCAGAAGUUUCAAGGGCAUCUAGGGAGACCAGAUAUUCAGAGACCUUCUCCUCGAUGUGCCUGUUCCAUGUAUCAGGGAUGCAGGUUUUCCCAGCAGGACUUGUGUCAUUGGCAUGACAGACCUGCCUUGGCUGAGCGUUCAAUUGUCUUUGGAGUUCAGCCACCUUAGCAAGUCCUGGGUUUGUUCUUCAGACUUCGCUGCUUGCCCAUUGCUUGGAUCGGGGGCUACUUUGUAAACCACCAGGAAGACUCCAGUGUUUCUGCUUAAUUUUUAGAUGUUUGUUAAUUGCCCUUGGCCUCUCAUUAAUCCCGGUGGGUCCUUCAGGAAACAUACCGUUCCCUGAGUUUUCAUUUCCAGGCAUCUGCCCUGCCUGGAUCUCCUCGCCAUCCAGGAACUUCCUCUUCACAAGCCGGCCAUCCCAGCAAAAGUUCUAACAUCAAAGGUCUAGCAACUAGCCUGCCAUCUUGUGCCUAGAGCCACCUGCGUGCCACCUACCCCCGAAGAUGGGAACCUCGUUGCCAGUUGGGGAGAUGCAGGGCAAUCCUGUACCAAGACCCCAUCUUACCACCUGUUUUCUCAGACCACUCUGGAACCCACUGUCUCAGAUUGGGUCCUCCAGGAAGCAGACUGUGAGAGGGAGUUGGCAGGACCAAAGGUUUACUGGGGCUAACUAACCCUCAGGAAAGGGACAGGAAGGAAGCAGGGCUGGAGAGCAGGUUGAGCCCAACCUGACAGUCUUGAGCAGCCCAGCAGGGAGGUGUGGAGCAAGGGUUGCCCACUAGAGGGGCCUGCAUUGGGCUUGGGUGGUGGGGUCCACAUGGUACCUGGCACACAGCAGGCUGUGCAAUCCAUAUUAACUGCCUGGAUGAAUUAAUGCCCAGGAAAGGUGCCCUGGGGAACGGGUAUGUGCUGAGCACAAUAGGGAAGGGCCCAGCAUCUGCCUUGGCAUAGGCAGAACUGUGCUGUGCCCUGCAACAGGCCACCCGAGAGCUGCUUUCGUCUUGUGUGUGCAUUAGACAACUGCCAGGGGCAUGAAGGGGAUGUGCUUCCAGGGCAUUUGCUGGCAGGGUGUCUCGUGAUCUCUUGGUAUUGGUGUGAGCACAACCUGGCAGAAGAGGGCAGAUCUCAGUGCAAAGUAUCAUGUCAAAAAGCAGAUCGAAGCCAGGCCCCCUCCUGGAAGAGGCUCCUUGAAGGUAGGUGCACACUCAUGUCUUUGUUACUUGUAAGGGAACAUCUUACAGGCAAGAGGAGUUAGGUGAAUGUGAAGAGGAAGGAACUGCUCACUCUGGGCAAGGGGCUGGGGGAGGCUUCGUAGAGGAGCGGGUGUUUGAGCUGGGCCUUGAAGGUCGAAAGGGUUUUGUUAGGUGGGAAAUGGGGGAAGGACAGCCUGAAGGGGUUAGGUACCUUCAAGGAGCCCAGAGAAGGUUGGUGGCUGGAGCAGACCCAUUCGUAGAGUGAAGUCGUGGAAGAAGAGGCUGGGAAACUAGAUUGGGUCCAACUCCUAAAGGCCCACUGAAGGAGUGUGGGUUGCACGCUGGGUGCAGCAGGUGAGUGUCCUCACUUGGGUUUCACUGUCAGCAUUUUUAAAAGGCAAACUGGUUCUCUUCCUGAGGAGAAUUCACUGAUUCACUGAUGUGGCCAGUAAGUCAUCUGACAAACCUUUGUGUACUUCUGAUGGGAUAGGAGUGUUUGUAGACAACAGUCACACAAAUAUGCAGCCCAGUGCAGCUCAGGAGCAGCCUUCCAUGGAUAAGCCAUUGGUACCUACAGUGUGCUCCUGUCCUUGCUAAUCUGAACACAUGGGUAGUAGUAACCUUAAGCGUGUCUCAAUCUUCUGACUUGUGAUGAGGUUUCCAAUUCUUGUUCCUGACUUUAGAAUGAAGUUUGGAGAGAUGUCAUUAAGUCUCUAGGUUCUGAGGAUUACUGUGGGGUGGGCAGAGGGAAAAAAGGGUAUUGGGGCCAGAUGUUCCUGUGCUUCUACCAGAAAGUUGAUUUGCCCAAUGUACCACCCUCACUUGGCAGGCCUGAGCAGUGGCCUGCCACUCACAACCCAGAAAAAGAAGGUACAGUGCGGGCUUGCCCUGGCGGGCGCUUGGAUGCCCUAAGCUGCAGCAUCCACACCAGGUGGGAUUUGGUAGGGUAGGCCCCCCCAUCCACUGUGUCUGAUCAUACUGCCUUUGAAAGAGGAGGGUGGAUGAUGAAGACAAGACGACGAGAUAGGGUGGCCUCAGCAUGUUGCAGCACCCAACUGGAACAUUUGCAAAUGAUACUUGGAGAAAGCUUUAGGAAAGAGGCCCACUUCAUUUAUGAAAUGACACUAGCUAAUGUUUGACCUUAGUCACAUGUUCCUUGAUUCCUCAUUUUGCCCUGUGUUGGCUGACUCAUGCAGCUUCACUUUUAAUUAAAGGUGGGCUGUGAUGAGAGUCAUGAUCAGUGAGUGGCUUCCAUAGCAGAAAGUUCUGUGUAGUUCUUGGGGGAUGUGAGUUUAAGUAUGAGGUGCUAAGACGAAUAUGUCCAUACAUUGUAUUCUAUUUCCUCUAUCCUUUCCCUCCUCUAACCAUUUCUGCCUUCUUCAUCUUUCUAACUUUCCCAAGGCAUUUUACAUCAGAUUUCAGAUAUAGAACAGUGGAUGUUAGAACAAACCCAAAUUCCUAAUGCUUGUUACCAUGAAAACAUGGCAACACCAUUCACAUUUUCUUAACAAAUGGCCUGUACCAUUCAGCCCAGGCAUUGACAUAGGAGCCCAUUGUUUGCAUCCUCUGGGUCCUUGUAGUUCAUAUGCUGGAGCAAUGUAUAGAGGCGCACAGAAGGGCUGAGAAUGUGGCCAUGAGGUAUGUAACAAUGAGGCCCAGAGCCUGAGCUUUGGUGUCUAGCAAACCUAGGUUUGAAUGUUAGCUCUUUGUGUUCCUGUGUGACCUUGUUGGUUACUCGUGUCUUUGUGUCUCCUUCUCUUAUAAACCAGGAGGUACAAAUGCCACUCGUGUCACAGGGCUGUUGCUGGGACAUACUCUUGCACCUUGUGUUCUCUCUUUCUGGGACUCAGGUUCUCAAGAUUUGCUUCUACAUUUACAGAUAAUUCUAACAUCUUUGUCAUCAGUGUUGACAUCUCUUGAUUGUAGCCUGUCAUUCCAUUUGAGAUCUUCUUGGUUCUGGCUGGCAUCCUCUGACAUUACUCCAGCAGAAGAAAGGGAAGGAUCAUGCCGCAUUACUGCCUGGUGAGUGCAGUAGUCUACCUUCCCCACAUGGCCUCCAUUGAUUCCUGAAAUGGGUGGGGGUACUCCUUGUUUCUGCUGGGCAGGAGUGGACUUUUUGGAUCUGAUCUGGGGCUGCACUGAUACCUUUGUGGCUGGGAGGGUUUGAUAUUUUUCAGCACUGUAUUCAGUAUCACCUGCACAGACACCUUAGGGGAUGGGGACUUGCUAUUGCCUGGCAGGGGUGAAAAUGCCAGCUCCCUGAUUGGCCACCUCCAACAGCACCAAGGUAGACAGGAGGGAUGUUACAGCUUAGCAAGCAUGUUACACUGAGCCCCCUAGUUGACCUUUGCUGGCAUGUGUGGAAGUGGGGAUCAAACUAUAUUUCUGUGGUGUUUAACUAGAGUAAAGCAGCUUACUGUCUAAAAGUUUUCUAUCUUGGUAAGUUACACUUUCUUGGUCCUCUGGCUUUGGUUCUUCUUUCCUCCCUCCCUUACUGUCCACCUUUCCUCCCUCUUUUCCUUCAUUCCUUCUUUCUUCUUUCCUCUGUGUUUGUUGACAUUUCUGGAUCUAGCUCCUUUGGCUC
Non-coding RNA from Chlorocebus sabaeus (green monkey), 4870 nucleotides. NCBI's taxonomy places the organism in Eukaryota, Metazoa, Chordata, Mammalia, Primates, Cercopithecidae. The record is from RefSeq and is a predicted model, not a curated record.